CCCAGAAUGUUGUAAUAGUUAGAGUGUUGGACUACAACUCUGGUGACCAGGGUUCGAAUCCCGGUCAUGGAA
Molecule: non-coding RNA, 72 nt
Organism: Phrynosoma platyrhinos (Desert horned lizard)
Lineage: Eukaryota; Metazoa; Chordata; Lepidosauria; Squamata; Phrynosomatidae
Source: the annotation of a GenBank genome assembly